This is a non-coding RNA of Nylanderia fulva, 504 nucleotides long. The record is from RefSeq and is a predicted model, not a curated record. NCBI's taxonomy places the organism in Eukaryota, Metazoa, Arthropoda, Insecta, Hymenoptera, Formicidae.
AAAAAAAAAACUGAAAAUAAAAGUUACUGUAUUAUGGGAUUUUCGCGUACGGUGGUCCAUUCAUACUUGCUAUUCUUUGUGUCAUCGUUGUGGAUUUUAUUUCCGUGUACCUGCCAAGAAAUUUCCGACCAGAAUUUAAAUUAGGACUUUGCUGGUAUUAUGCUAAACGGAAGCCAGCGUUUCUAUUGUAUUUCUACGGGAUUAAAACUGUCUGUAAUAUUAGUAGCGUUUGCUUAUCUAUCUCUGCGGCACUGAAAAUCAGACGCUAUGAAAAGAAUACAGGUCUUUGUCUGACAGAUUCGGAAAGCAGGCGAUAUAAUGACAAUAAGAAAUGGUUUAAUCUAUAUAUGAAGUUAUUUAUUGUGCUGUUUAUAGUGUUGGGCAUAAAUUGGAUUGUGCUUACACUGACAUGGGUGUUUGUAAAAAUAAUGAAUAUUUACCUCGCUUAUUUUAUUGCUUCGUUAGAUAUUAUUACGAGUUUCUGCACCUUUAUCAUAUUUGUAU